UGCACCUCCUCUCCCCAGGACGGCCUUGGCCGGUUCAGAAAUGCUCAGCUGGAGGAGGGCAAAGUCAGGGAGAGGAGACCGUUCCUGGCCUCAGAAUGUACUGAGCUGCCGAAAGCAGAGAAGUGGAGACGACAGAUUAUCAGUGAGAUCUCCAAGAAAGUUGCUCAGAUUCAAAACGCUGGUCUGGGAGAGUUUAAGAUCCGGGACCUGAAACGAUGAGAUCAAUAAGCUGCUGAGAGAGAAAGGUCACUGGGAGGUCAGGAUCAAGGAGCUGGGAGGACCUGACUACGGGGUAAUGGAGUUGGGAGAUUUCAACCUUUAUCCUAUGGUGGUUAUGUGCCCCCUCCAUCCAGUUAUG
Salmo salar (Atlantic salmon) is the source of this 358-nucleotide non-coding RNA. Lineage: Eukaryota; Metazoa; Chordata; Actinopteri; Salmoniformes; Salmonidae. The record is from RefSeq and is a predicted model, not a curated record.